AUCCAGCUGACGAGCCCGAAAUGGGACGAAACGAGAGUCCUGGAC
RNAcentral lists this non-coding RNA (45 nucleotides) under Schistosoma mattheei. The record is from RNAcentral. Lineage: Eukaryota; Metazoa; Platyhelminthes; Trematoda; Strigeidida; Schistosomatidae.